AGGACCGUUUCUUGUUCUUCUAACUACAGAGACAGCUGUAAGGACCGCCGAAAAGGGUUGGACUCAUGCGUCGCGAGUGAAAGGACCUCUUCUCUGGGAUCACUG
Strigops habroptila (Kakapo) is the source of this 105-nucleotide long non-coding RNA. RefSeq lists it as uncharacterized. Lineage: Eukaryota; Metazoa; Chordata; Aves; Psittaciformes; Psittacidae. The transcript is spliced from 3 exons. The record is from RefSeq and is a predicted model, not a curated record.